This 353-nucleotide ribosomal RNA is filed under the name uncultured soil bacterium. Its description in RNAcentral is "bacterial SSU rRNA". It matches the Rfam family "Bacterial small subunit ribosomal RNA", at positions 26 to 387 of the family's 1533-position model. The record is from RNAcentral.
AGGAUUAACGCUGGCGGCGUGCCUAAUGCAUGCAAGUCGAACGCGGGCGCCUUCGGGUGCUUGGCGUGGCGGACGGGUGAGGAACACGUGGGCAAGGUGCCCUGAGGUGGGGGGUAGCCCUCGGAAACGAGGGGUAAUUCCGCAUGAGCUGCUUGACUGGUGGGUUGAGCAGGAAAGGGCGCAAGUCUCGCCUUGGGAGCCGCCUGCGGCCGAUUAGCUAGUUGGUGGGUCGAGGCCUACAAGGCGGUGAUCGGUAGCUGGUCUGAGAGGACGCAGCACGACGGGACUGAGACACCGGCCCCGACGUCCGUACCGGGAGGCACGGACCAGUACCAAGGGUAACGUUUUACCCG